UGCAUCGAUGAAGAACGCAGCGAAAUGCGAUAAGUAAUGUGAAUUGCAGAAUUCAGUGAAUCAUCGAAUCUUUGAACGCACCUUGCGCUCCAUGGUAUUCCGUGGAGCAUGCCUGUUUGAGUGUCAUGAAUACUUCAACCCUCCUCUUUCUUAAUGAUUGAAGAGGUGUUUGGUUUCUGAGCGCUGCUGGCCUUUACGGUCUAGCUCGUUCGUAAUGCAUUAGCAUCCGCAAUCGAACUUCGGAUUGACUUGGCGUAAUAGACUAUUCGCUGAGGAAUUCUAGUCUUCGGAUUAGAGCCGGGUUGGGUUAAAGGAAGCUUCUAAUCAGAAUGUCUACAUUUUAAGAUUAGAUCUCAAAUCAGGUAGGACUACCCGCUGAACUUAAGCAUAUCAAUAAGCGGAGGA
Molecule: ribosomal RNA, 405 nt
Filed under: uncultured fungus
Lineage: Eukaryota; Fungi
Description: eukaryotic LSU rRNA
Rfam family: 5.8S ribosomal RNA (bases 1-126)
Source: RNAcentral